Molecule: ribosomal RNA, 230 nt
Filed under: uncultured bacterium
Lineage: Bacteria
Description: partial 16S ribosomal RNA
Rfam family: Bacterial small subunit ribosomal RNA
Source: RNAcentral
CGGGGUGGAGUAAUGCUUGGGAAUCUAGCUUAUGGAGGGGGAUAACUACGGGAAACUGUAGCUAAUACCGCGUAGAAUCGGGAGAUGAAAGUGUGGGACCUUCGGGCCACAUGCCAUAGGAUGAGCCCAAGUGGGAUUAGGUAGUUGGUGAGGUAAAGGCUCACCAAGCCGACGAUCUCUAGCUGGUCUGAGAGGAUGACCAGCCACACUGGGACUGAGACACGGCCCAG